AACGAAGGGGGCUAGCGUUGUUCGGAUUCACUGGGCGUAAAGCGCACGCAGGCGGAUAGAUAAGUCGGGGGUGAAAGCCCGGGGCUCAACCUCGGAAUUGCCUUCGAUACUGUCGGUCUUGCGUCCGGGAGAGGUGAGUGGAAUUCCUAGUGUAGAGGUGAAAUUCGUAGAUAUUAGGAAGAACACCAGUGGCGAAGGCGGCUCACUGGCCCGGUACUGACGCUCAGGUGCGAAAGCGUGGGGAGCAAACAGG
Molecule: ribosomal RNA, 253 nt
Filed under: uncultured bacterium
Lineage: Bacteria
Description: partial 16S ribosomal RNA
Rfam family: Bacterial small subunit ribosomal RNA
Source: RNAcentral